UCCCUGGAGGACUAGUGGUUAGGCCACAGCACUCUCACUGCUGUGGCCCAGGUUCGAUUCCUGGCCGGGGAA
RNAcentral lists this transfer RNA (72 nucleotides) under Pangasianodon gigas (Mekong giant catfish). RNAcentral describes it as "tRNA-Glu". It matches the Rfam family "tRNA". From Rfam's summary of the family: Transfer RNA (tRNA) molecules are approximately 80 nucleotides in length. Their secondary structure includes four short double-helical elements and three loops (D, anti-codon, and T loops). Further hydrogen bonds mediate the characteristic L-shaped molecular structure. tRNAs have two regions of fundamental functional importance: the anti-codon, which is responsible for specific mRNA codon recognition, and the 3' end, to which the tRNAs corresponding amino acid is attached (by aminoacyl-tRNA synthetases). tRNAs cope with the degeneracy of the genetic code in two manners: having more than one tRNA (with a specific anti-codon) for a particular amino acid; and 'wobble' base-pairing, i.e. permitting non-standard base-pairing at the 3rd anti-codon position. The record is from RNAcentral. Lineage: Eukaryota; Metazoa; Chordata; Actinopteri; Siluriformes; Pangasiidae.